RNAcentral lists this ribosomal RNA (452 nucleotides) under uncultured bacterium. RNAcentral's name for it is "bacterial SSU rRNA". It matches the Rfam family "Bacterial small subunit ribosomal RNA", at positions 29 to 526 of the family's 1533-position model. The record is from RNAcentral.
AACGAACGCUGGCGGCAGGCUUAACACAUGCAAGUCGAACGAUCCCUUCGGGGAUAGUGGCAGACGGGUGAGUAACACGUGGGAACGUACCUUUCAGUCAGGAAUAACUCAGGGAAACUUGAGCUAAUACCCGAUACGCCCCUUGGGGGAAAGAUUUAUCGCUGAAAGAUCGGCCCGCGUCUGAUUAGCUUGUUGGUGGGGUAAUGGCCUACCAAGGCGACGAUCAGUAGCUGGUCUGAGAGGAUGAUCAGCCACACUGGGACUGAGACACGGCCCAGACUCCUACGGGAGGCAGCAGUGGGGAAUAUUGGACAAUGGGCGCAAGCCUGAUCCAGCCAUGCCGCGUGAGUGAUGACGGCCCUAGGGUUGUAAAGCUCUUUCGACGGGGACGAUAAUGACGGUACCCGUAGAAGAAGCCCCGGCUAACUUCGUGCCAGCCGCCGCCGUAAAAC